RNAcentral lists this long non-coding RNA (1343 nucleotides) under Lupinus mutabilis. Its description in RNAcentral is "partial ncRNA". Lineage: Eukaryota; Viridiplantae; Streptophyta; Magnoliopsida; Fabales; Fabaceae. The record is from RNAcentral.
ACACUUGUCUGAGAAACUCACUCUCGCAACACUAGAGAUUAAUACAUCACUCAGUGUGCAUUUCUUUGUGAUAAAGGGCUGGUGUCAAAUAUAUCAGAUAUGUUUGUGAGACUCAAAAAUUGUGAAUACCCUGAUUCUUGAUACUUUAAACCUGUGUGUGCACCUUACUCUAGAUGGUAUAUGAUAUCUUAGUUUUUAGCUCUUGCACCAUUUUUUUGGUAGAGGUGAAAACUAGGAUCUAAUGAGGUGAUAGAAUGAUAAUUUUUUGUAUAAGUAGCCCCACCCUCACUGGAAAUUAGUGUCUUCGACUAUAACAUCAGUAUUGUGGCUUUCAAGUUUUGCAUUAAUAAAUGCAGUAAUGUUUCUACAAUAUGAGUUAAAACAUUUGCAAAUGAUGCCAUUCUCCCUCUUGUUUAGAGAAAGCCUCACUCCUAAAACAAAACCCAUUUGCAGUGUCUUUGUUGCAGCAGCAGCAGCUACCUUGUCAUUUCUCCCCAAAGGAACAAGAUAAAAUUGGACGUGAACCAGGGAAAGUGAUAAGUACUUUGAUUUUAUUUUUAUUCCAAAAAGAAGAGUAUAACAAGUAAGUGUUGGCUCCUUGAGGUACUUUUUCUAAGUAACUAUCUUGUUUGUCAUUGUUGAUCUUCAUGACCAAGUUUAACUUUGCAGGUUUAAGGUGAAGAUUUGGGUAUCAUCUUCAUUAUCAAUGCAUCACUUUUACAUGUACAAUAAGCUUAUUCUGGUUUGGAUUCUCCACAUCAUCAUGAAGGGCCCAGCCCUCUGCUUAGGAAAUAUGGUUGAGGACAAAUAUUUGAAUGUUGGAGAAGAGCUUUGGCAAGAAACUUUGCCAUUACAAGGUGGAUCUCGCUUUUAUCAUAUACAACAUCUAAAACCCCAUACGUGGUAUGAAGUGAAGAUAUCAUAUCCAGCUUCGAUACCUGCUAGCUUUUCCUUACAACUGAAGAGAAACAAGUCAAAUAUGGAGCUCACAAGUAACAGGAGAUUACUCAACACUGAAAAGCUAAUUUUUAAGACCUAUAGCGAUCAGGUCCAGCAAUAAUAUGAAGAUUUUUAGUCCAAAUUUUUGGAACCGUUUGUUUGAACUUCAUUUGAUAAUGUUUUGUUCUUACAACGUUGACUUGAUUCAGGACAAAACCUACGUACUAGUAGCUGUGGAGCCAGAGGGGGUUCCAGCAAAACCUUAUAUACUAGAGAGGCAGUUUAUCAUCUUCAUUAUAGGUAACUUUUUGCUUAGUAUAUUAAUAAUCUUGAUACUACCAAAUGUGGAAUCUUAUACUUCAUUUACAUUAGUAGUAUUACACGCUUAUAAAUUAUCUGAUGUU